This 439-nucleotide ribosomal RNA is filed under the name uncultured bacterium. Its description in RNAcentral is "bacterial SSU rRNA". It matches the Rfam family "Bacterial small subunit ribosomal RNA", at positions 340 to 774 of the family's 1533-position model. The record is from RNAcentral.
UACGGAAGGCAGCAGUGGGGAAUAUUGCACAAUGGGCGCAAGCCUGAUGCAGCCAUGCCGCGUGUAUGAAGAAGGCCUUCGGGUUGUAAAGUACUUUCAGUCGUGAGGAAGGUGUUAAGGUUAAUAACCUUAGCAAUUGACGUUAGCGACAGAAGAAGCACCGGCUAACUCCGUGCCAGCAGCCGCGGUAAUACGGAGGGUGCGAGCGUUAAUCGGAAUUACUGGGCGUAAAGGGCACGCAGGCGGUUAAUUAAGUUGGAUGUGAAAUCCCCGGGCUUAACCUGGGAAUGGCAUUCAAGCUGGUUAGCUAGAGUCUUGUAGAGGGGGUAGAAUUCCAUGUGUAGCGGUGAAAUGCGUAGAGAUGUGGAGGAAUACCGGUGGCGAAGGCGGCCCCUGGACAAAGACUGACGCUCAUGUGCGAAAGCGUGGGGAGCGAAAC